CUUGAGCCAGAUCCUAAGAAGAGGUUGACUGCUCAGCAAGUUCUUGUAAUAUGAUGAGUGUUGUUGCAUCAUUCUAUAAGGCAAUUUUAGCAGUUACAACAGGGAUAUCUGUGCCCUUCAACAACUUGGCUAUUAUAUACAAGCAACAGAGACUAUGCUUUGCAUCGGAAGUGAAUGGCAUCGUUAUCCUUCUUCAUUUUUUAUGCCUUCGUACAUUAAGGAAGUUCAAUGGAUAAAUGAAGGAUUUAGGGGUCUUCUCCCAUAUCCUUUUAAUUCAAGUUUGGGAGGCAUGACAACUACCCCACCUUAUUUCAAUGACAAGAACAAGGGUUUAUGCCUUCGUACAUUAUAGCAUCAAAUGGUUCUCAUUUCAAACAUCCAUCAGAGUUCACAUUUACUGUGACAUUAAGUUCAAAAGAAAUUAUAGAAGAAUCUGUUGAAGAAAGUUUUGUUUAGGACUAUGCUGAUCUAUGUAAACCACAAGAGGGUCCUUGUCCAAUGUUGUUUGAUAUGCUAAGAAUCAAUAAGAACAAUGAAGUGAAGAACAUAGUUUGGAAUUUACAAAUGUUAUCAAAUGAGAUGGAGCUUUUCAGAGAGUUCAAUGAAGAAGAUAGGCCUCUUUUGUUACUUUAAGCUUAAGAUUUUUGCUUCAUAUUGUUUAUGCAUAUGGGAAUUGUUUGUUGCCAACUCGAGUUUGAUUUUUCUUUGCAGUAAAUUUGUGAAGAUAAUAUUAGCAAAACUCCUGGUUGCACAUAACAUAUUGAAUUCAGAUGGAUCUCUUAAAAGUUUAACAAAUCAUACUAAAGAGGUUUAAUCAUUCUAUGAUGACUUGAUGAAGUUGGAUCCAUCACAUAAAAGAUACUAUGAAGAUGAAAAAAGUAUUGUUCUAAUGGAUCAGGAAAGCAAAUUACAGGAAGCAAUUAUCCUCAAGCAAUUAUCCCAACCCAAAGUGAAAGGAUUGUACAACAAGAAAUGCAUGGUUUUUCUCCACGAAGCUCAAAUUUUAUUUUAAAAGGAAGCUUAUUGAAGCUAAAGCAGAUUCAACAUAUAAGGAAGUUCAAUGGAUAAAUGAAGGAUUUAGGGAGAACUUAUUGGUAACCAAGGACUUUGUGAAGAUAGCAAAUUUUGGCCUUGCUCGUGAAGUUCAUUCGAAGCCACCAUUCACAGAAUAGGUUUCAACACGCUGUUUACAAAUCUCAAGUACUCCAGAGUUGAAAUUGAUGAAAUGCAGUUCGAGUGGGCUGA
Long non-coding RNA from Zingiber officinale, 1245 nucleotides. RefSeq lists it as uncharacterized. NCBI's taxonomy places the organism in Eukaryota, Viridiplantae, Streptophyta, Magnoliopsida, Zingiberales, Zingiberaceae. The record is from RefSeq and is a predicted model, not a curated record. The transcript is spliced from 6 exons.